GACCCGAAACCCGGUGAUCUAGCCAUGGGCAGGUUGAAGGUUGGGUAACACUAACUGGAGGACCGAACCGACUAAUGUUGAAAAAUUAGCGGAUGACUUGUGGCUGGGGGUGAAAGGCCAAUCAAACCGGGAGAUAGCUGGUUCUCCCCGAAAGCUAUUUAGGUAGCGCCUCGUGAAUUCAUCUCCGGGGGUAGAGCACUGUUUCGGCAAGGGGGUCAUCCCGACUUACCAACCCGAUGCAAACUGCGAAUACCGGAGAAUGUUAUCACGGGAGACACACGGCGGGUGCUAACGUCCGUCGUGAAGAGGGAAACAACCCAGACCGCCAGCUAAGGUCCCAAAGUCAUGGUUAAGUGGGAAACGAUGUGGGAAGGCCCAGACAGCCAGGAUGUUGGCUUAGAAGCAGCCAUCAUUUAAAGAAAGCGUAAUAGCUCACUGGUCGAGUCGGCCUGCGCGGAAGAUGUAACGGGGCUAAACCAUGCACCGAAGCUGCGGCAGCGACACUGUGUGUUGUUGGGUAGGGGAGCGUUCUGUAAGCCUGCGAAGGUGUACUGUGAGGUAUGCUGGAGGUAUCAGAAGUGCGAAUGCUGACAUAAGUAACGAUAAAGCGGGUGAAAAGCCCGCUCGCCGGAAGACCAAGGGUUCCUGUCCAACGUUAAUCGGGGCAGGGUGAGUCGACCCCUAAGGCGAGGCCGAAAGGCGUAGUCGAUGGGAAACAGGUUAAUAUUCCUGUACUUGGUGUUACUGCGAAGGGGGGACGGAGAAGGCUAUGUUGGCCGGGCGACGGUUGUCCCGGUUUAAGCGUGUAGGCUGGUUUUCCAGGCAAAUCCGGAAAACUAAGGCUGAGGCGUGAUGACGAGGCACUACGGUGCUGAAGCAACAAAUGCCCUGCUUCCAGGAAAAGCCUCUAAGCAUCAGGUAACAUCAAAUCGUACCCCAAACCGACACAGGUGGUCAGGUAGAGAAUACCAAGGCGCUUGAGAGAACUCGGGUGAAGGAACUAGGCAAAAUGGUGCCGUAACUUCGGGAGAAGGCACGCUGAUAUGUAGGUGAAGUCCCUCGCGGAUGGAGCUGAAAUCAGUCGAAGAUACCAGCUGGCUGCAACUGUUUAUUAAAAACACAGCACUGUGCAAACACGAAAGUGGACGUAUACGGUGUGACGCCUGCCCGGUGCCGGAAGGUUAAUUGAUGGGGUUAGCGGUAACGCGAAGCUCUUGAUCGAAGCCCCGGUAAACGGCGGCCGUAACUAUAACGGUCCUAAGGUAGCGAAAUUCCUUGUCGGGUAAGUUCCGACCUGCACGAAUGGCGUAAUGAUGGCCAGGCUGUCUCCACCCGAGACUCAGUGAAAUUGAACUCGCUGUGAAGAUGCAGUGUACCCGCGGCAAGACGGAAAGACCCCGUGAACCUUUACUAUAGCUUGACACUGAACAUUGAGCCUUGAUGUGUAGGAUAGGUGGGAGGCUUUGAAGUGUGGACGCCAGUCUGCAUGGAGCCGACCUUGAAAUACCACCCUUUAAUGUUU
Molecule: ribosomal RNA, 1522 nt
Filed under: Escherichia coli
Lineage: Bacteria; Pseudomonadati; Pseudomonadota; Gammaproteobacteria; Enterobacterales; Enterobacteriaceae
Description: partial 23S ribosomal RNA
Rfam family: Bacterial large subunit ribosomal RNA
Source: RNAcentral